UACACACCGCCCGUCACACCAUGGGAAUCAGUUGUACCGGAAGUCGGUGAUUCAACCCGAAAGGGGAUAGCCGCCUAUGGUAUGGCUGGUGACUGGGGUG
Molecule: ribosomal RNA, 100 nt
Filed under: uncultured bacterium
Lineage: Bacteria
Description: partial 16S ribosomal RNA
Rfam family: Bacterial small subunit ribosomal RNA
Source: RNAcentral